RNAcentral lists this small RNA (166 nucleotides) under human gut metagenome. RNAcentral describes it as "Clostridiales-1 RNA". It matches the Rfam family "Clostridiales-1 RNA". The record is from RNAcentral.
AUGCCAGGGUCAAAAGGUCAAACUGUCGUUCUUGCUUGCAAGAUAAGACAGUUGAACUUUGGACCCGCUAAAACAUGAGGAAUGAGCAAUUUACGUAGUAAAUGUGCGGUUUCCGAAUGUUUGUAGAAUUGCGAGAACUGCAACGCAGUGGAGCAAUUCGUGGCAU